CGGCUGGCUCAGCGGUGCAGCCGCACGCCGUCCCCUCCAGAAACCGCGGCGGUGCCAGCAGGGACCGCGCGCGGGAGAGGCCCAGCGGCCGCGGGGUUCCGCGCUGCCCGGGCUGACUGAGGGCAGCAGAGGGCAGAGGGGCCGCUCAGGGAGCGGCUGAGGGGAGCCGUGCCUGUGCGGUCCCCCGGCGGAUGCCGCGGCGCUCAGGGAGCCCCGGCACUCGGCCCGUACGCGCCUCGCGCAGCAGCCGCUGCCGUCCUUUGUCCCCGAGCCGAGCGGUCUCUGAGCACUUGGGCCUCCGCCACAGCCGCUGCCGAGGGGAAGCGCCGUGACUGAGCACUGCAAGAGCUCGGACAAGCUCUGAGAGAUUUAAGGAAUAUGGACCAUCAUUUCAAAAUGGCAAUGUGCAUCUGUAAGCCUAGGCAGUUCCCCAGUUAGAGAACUGUUGUUCACUUUUGAGAUUAAGAUCAGCAUGGUUUUAGCCUAUGAGAAGCUCUCUGAAAAGGAUGGAAUGCAUCAGCUGACAAGAAUUCCCACUUCAGUUUCACAGAGAAGGAUGGGAAAACUGAGGCAGAAGUAUGAAUGGCCUGUCCAAUACUGCAAAUAAAAGCUCAUCUAAAAGUUUCCACUUCAGUA
Cyanistes caeruleus (blue tit) is the source of this 636-nucleotide long non-coding RNA. RefSeq lists it as uncharacterized. The record is from RefSeq and is a predicted model, not a curated record. NCBI's taxonomy places the organism in Eukaryota, Metazoa, Chordata, Aves, Passeriformes, Paridae.